Molecule: non-coding RNA, 148 nt
Filed under: Gorilla gorilla gorilla (western lowland gorilla)
Lineage: Eukaryota; Metazoa; Chordata; Mammalia; Primates; Hominidae
Source: Rfam by way of RNAcentral
GCUGGGCGUAGUGGCGGGCGCCUGUAAUCCCAGCUACUCGGGAGGCUGAGGCAGGAGAAUCGCUUGAACCCGGGAGGCGGAGGUUGCAGUGAGGCAAGAUCGCGCUACUGCACUCCAGCCUGGGCAACAGAGUGAGAUUCUGUCUCAA